UGUAUCUCCCCAUGGCCCUCUCUCAGCCCUCUCCAUUGGAACCCUUCCUCUUCCCAACAAGCCCCUCCUCCCUUGAUGCAUUUAGUUGUUUUGGACCCACUAAGUUUAACCCUGGUUGCCUGCAUGAGCAUGAAUGGGGCUUAUUUACUGGAAUUGGGGCAACACCACUAAGGAAAAUAACAGCCCCUCCCCACCUAACUUCUUUCAGUAUUAGCACAAACUUUAACAAGCUAGUUGACCACACUCUUCCCAAAAACAUACAUGCAUUUAUAUUUAUCAUAUUCCCUUGCUUCCUUAGAGCAACUAUGGUCAUGUGACUGAAGAACGACGUGGAGCUUUCAAGGUGGUUCAGCAGAAUGUCAGGUGUGUGGCAAGAGCAGUAGUCACCAGAGACCACAAUAUAAAAAAUGCAUACUCGGGAUGGUGAAGAGGAAUCUGUGUUGUUGACAUCAUGGCAUGCUGGACCAUUCUACAUCUACACAUUCUUCAAUGAGAGAGUAUAAAUCCUGUCUUGGGUAUCCGCCAGAGAAGACUACUUGGACAAGGGUUGAGGCCAAUAGAAAGUCUUUAUUAGCUGGCUGGCGACUGGAAUACCGAUGUAGCCUGAGCCUUUCUCAGGGUGCACUUUUAAGCACAAAAACCAUAUCUUCUAUUGACAUGGCAAGAACCAUUAGCCAGAAGCAGAAUUACAGAAGCCAAAAAGCAAAGUAAGUACAUUUAGAGACUUUCCCAGAACUGUGGACUUGGAUGAAUUAGGUCUUUGUUUUCAUUUUGGCCAGUGGUGCUGUCUGUGUGCCAAGUUUUAUGGCCUGAAUGGUACUUCCACCAUGGAAGUACCAAGUUAAGCUGUGCUAAGGUAUGGGGGACUACUGAGACGUGGGGGCUGUUAUAGAUGUGACCAAAUGCCUGGCAAGAGGCAACCUAAGGAAAGAACAGCUUACUUUGGGUCACAGUUUGAGGGCACACAGUCCAUUGCAGUAAGGAAGGCAUGGCAGCAGGUAUUCAAGGUAGCUCGCCAAAUUCAUCCACAGCCAGGAAACAGAAAAAGAUAAAUGCUGGUGUUCAGCACUUUCUCUUUCUAAUUCAGUCUGGACUCAGUGAAUGGUGCUGCCUAAUUCAGGGUAUUUUUCCUCCUCAGUUAACCUCUGUGGAAAAGCCUUGAUAGAUAGGCCUAGAGCUAUAUCUCCUAGGUAAUUCUAAAUCCUGCCAAACUGACAGUAAUGAUUAAUCAUCACAGACCCUGGCAAUGCAGCUAUGACUAAAGCCCUGCCCAAAAUGCAUCGUGGUGGCC
Long non-coding RNA from Peromyscus maniculatus bairdii (prairie deer mouse), 1291 nucleotides. RefSeq lists it as uncharacterized. The record is from RefSeq and is a predicted model, not a curated record. NCBI's taxonomy places the organism in Eukaryota, Metazoa, Chordata, Mammalia, Rodentia, Cricetidae.